RNAcentral lists this long non-coding RNA (58 nucleotides) under Sitophilus oryzae (rice weevil). RNAcentral describes it as "uncharacterized LOC115885208". The record is from RNAcentral. Lineage: Eukaryota; Metazoa; Arthropoda; Insecta; Coleoptera; Curculionidae.
UAAAACUGAAAAUGGAUAUCUAUUAUUCCAUUGAUUCCACAUUAAAUUUAUAAAAGUU